This is a long non-coding RNA of Polistes canadensis, 2053 nucleotides long. RefSeq lists it as uncharacterized. The transcript has 3 exons. The record is from RefSeq and is a predicted model, not a curated record. NCBI's taxonomy places the organism in Eukaryota, Metazoa, Arthropoda, Insecta, Hymenoptera, Vespidae.
GUAAUUUUUUAUCUUGUAUUUUUCUCUUUUUAUCUUUUUUGUGACAUUUAUUUAAUUGAUAUUUUUGUAUUCGUUCUUCUAUGCAGCUCGAUUUAAGGAAAUGAAAAAACGUCAAGAAUUAUAUAUUUUUCGUGAAAGCUUAUCACUUAACAAUAUAUGCAAGACAAAAUUAAAUUUAUGCAAGUUGGUUAUAAUUGGUCAAGAAGGAAAUUCGUUAUCAUUGAACGAUCUAUCGAAACUCGUUUAUUUGCAAGAAUUAUGGCUGGUCGAGUGCAAUUUAAAAGAUAUAUCCUCGUUGAAAGAAUGUACGAAAUUGGAAAAGCUUUACGUUUAUUCGAACGAAAUCGAACGAAUUCCAAAUCUAUCCAAAAUUACUGGGCUUGCAAUUAUUUCGUUAUCGGGAAACAAGAUUGAUCGUUUAACGGUAUUAAAUGAUAUCUCUCAUAUUAUUUUUAAAUAAUAUCGGAAGAUAUAUAUUUGCCAAUAUUUAUGAAAGAUAAAAUAAUCAAAUUAACACGGGGAGAAACAAAAUUGGUAAUAAUAAUUCGAUAAUUAAUUAUUAUUCGAACGAUAUAUAUAUAUAAAUAUAGAAUAUCGACAAGUUGGAAAACUUAGAGGAACUUAAUGUGGCCGAUAACAAAUUGAAAAGGUUGCCAAAUAUUUUCACGAAAAAUUAUAACUUGAAAUACAUCAAUCUGGCGGGACAUGAAAAAUUUACGGCCAGUGACAAAAUUAGAGUCAGUUGUUUUGAAUGAUCCACUUUACGGUGACUGUCCAUUAGCACGUCUUUGCAAUUAUCGCUGUUACGUUUUUUAUUGGCUUCCACAAAUUAGCAGACUCGAUCAUUAUCCAAUAGACGAUGCGGAAAGACAUUGGAUCGAUACUUUUUUCAAGUAUCCUUCUUACAUUUUUUAUUAUUCACUUGUGUGUGUGUGUAGAUAAAAAAACAAAAUCUUUUAAACAAAAUUACAGGAAGAAUAUGAUGCGUUGUAAAAUUGUAUUGCACGAUAAUAUGAAUGUUUAUUUGAAAUCUUUGAAAGACAUGCACGAAAAAUUUCAAGACAACGAGAAACACUUAAAACAUUUGCUUCGCGAUAUGAACAUUUUCAAAUUGCAGGUUUAAUAAUAUUUAAUAAUAAUUAAAGGAUUGUAUGAAUAAAUGUCGAUUGUAAAAUGCUGCAAUUUUUAAUCUGAAUUAGUCUAAUUUAGAAACGAAUAAAGAAUUAAUUGCAUCGGAAAAAGGAACGUUGUCUUUGAUGGAAUAUCAUGAAAAAAUAUUAAAGGAAAGUGAAGAAAUGGCUUCGAUAUAUUUUCAAGUGAGAACACUUUUAUCAUGCGAUUAAAUUUCAAUUUUUAUUUAAUUUUUUUGUUUUUUUUUUCGAGUUAGAUCACUUGUCGACAAUUAAAAUUGCAUAUUCGUUACUGCGAUAAUGUUCGUCUACGAGAAUAUAAAAACAAAGGGGAAGAUUUAAUGAAAAUUUGUCAGAUUACAUUGGAAGAAUCUUUGUGUUCUUUAACAAAAAAGUAUGAAACGUUUUAUCAUUUGUCUCAUUAAUAUUUCUAUUCAUUGUUUAUUUAAAAGUUAGUAAAUCUUUGAUAGGGAAACCAAUAUAACAGGAAUACGUUUGUAUCGAGUCACAGAGGUUUUUCACAAGGAAAUAAACGAGUAUCGUAAUUGGAAUAAUCAAAUCGAUACUUUGCAUGAAAAGGAGAAAAGUUUGAAGCUUUUAGCCAGCAUGCCAGGAGUUCGAAGUAUUCGUGAAUGGCCAAUGAACGUCCUUAAAAGCGAAUUUUAUAAUCAAGUUAACUAUAUUUCCAAUCGAUUUUUCAUCCAAUAUUAAUUAGAUUAUUUUUUUUUUUAGCGAUUUGCUAUAGAAUGAAUUUAGUACUAUACAAAAAUUCAACAAUUUAAUAAUAAAACUUAAAACUUUUAACAAUAAAAUAAUCUUAAAACUUUUUCAACAUCAAACAUACUUGUUUUUAAUAUUAUUGAAUAUUUUGAUCCUUAAUAAAAUAUAGUUUCUUUAUUGGUUCGCUAUCAAAUUAAUUUAGU